This 465-nucleotide ribosomal RNA is filed under the name Vreelandella stevensii. Its description in RNAcentral is "partial 16S ribosomal RNA". It matches the Rfam family "Bacterial small subunit ribosomal RNA", at positions 338 to 795 of the family's 1533-position model. The record is from RNAcentral. Lineage: Bacteria; Pseudomonadati; Pseudomonadota; Gammaproteobacteria; Oceanospirillales; Halomonadaceae.
CCUACGGGAGGCAGCAGUGGGGAAUAUUGGACAAUGGGCGAAAGCCUGAUCCAGCCAUGCCGCGUGUGUGAAGAAGGCCUUCGGGUUGUAAAGCACUUUCAGUGGGGAAGAAAGCCUUGGGGCUAAUACCCUCGAGGAAGGACAUCACCCACAGAAGAAGCACCGGCUAACUCCGUGCCAGCAGCCGCGGUAAUACGGAGGGUGCGAGCGUUAAUCGGAAUUACUGGGCGUAAAGCGCGCGUAGGCGGUCUGAUAAGCCGGUUGUGAAAGCCCCGGGCUCAACCUGGGAACGGCAUCCGGAACUGUCAGGCUAGAGUGCAGGAGAGGAAGGUAGAAUUCCCGGUGUAGCGGUGAAAUGCGUAGAGAUCGGGAGGAAUACCAGUGGCGAAGGCGGCCUUCUGGACUGACACUGACGCUGUGGUGCGAAAGCGUGGGUAGCAAACAGGAUUAGAUACCCCGGUAGUC